RNAcentral lists this ribosomal RNA (253 nucleotides) under uncultured bacterium. Its description in RNAcentral is "partial 16S ribosomal RNA". It matches the Rfam family "Bacterial small subunit ribosomal RNA", at positions 524 to 776 of the family's 1533-position model. The record is from RNAcentral.
GACGAACCGUGCAAACGUUGUUCGGAAUCACUGGGCUUAAAGGGCGCGUAGGCGGGCAAGCAAGUCCGGGGUGAAAUCUUUCGGCUUAACCGGAAAAGUGCCUUGGAUACUGCUUGUCUGGAGGGAGGUAGGGGCAUGCGGAACUUCUGGUGGAGCGGUGAAAUGCGUUGAUAUCAGAAGGAACGCCGGUGGCGAAAGCGGCGUGCUGGACCUCUUCUGACGCUGAGGCGCGAAAGCUAGGGGAGCAAACGGG